GUGAGCCAGUACAGGAUGGACCCGCGUCUGAUUAGUUAGUUGGUAAGGUAACGGCUUACCAAGGCGACGAUCAGUAGCCGACCUGAGAGGGUGAUCGGCCACAUUGGAACUGAGACACGGUCCAAACGCCUACGGGAGGCAGCAGUGGGGAAUAUUGCACAAUGGGCGAAAGCCUGAUGCAGCAACGCCGCGUGAGUGAUGAAGGCCUUCGGGUCGUAAAGCUCUGUCCUCAAGGAAGAUAAUGACGGUACUUGAGGAGGAAGCCCCGGCUAACUACGUGCCAGCAGCCGCGGUAAUACGUAGGGGGCUAGCGUUAUCCGGAUUUACUGGGCGUAAAGGGUGCGUAGG
RNAcentral lists this ribosomal RNA (348 nucleotides) under Clostridioides difficile. RNAcentral's name for it is "bacterial SSU rRNA". It matches the Rfam family "Bacterial small subunit ribosomal RNA", at positions 210 to 575 of the family's 1533-position model. The record is from RNAcentral. Lineage: Bacteria; Bacillati; Bacillota; Clostridia; Peptostreptococcales; Peptostreptococcaceae.